GUGAGGAAUAUUGCUCAAUGGGCGAAAGCCUGAAGCAGCAACGCCGCGUGCGCGAUGAAGGUCUUCGGAUCGUAAAGCGCUUUUGAGAGGGACGAGAUAGGACGGUACCUCUUGAAUAAGUCACGGCUAACUACGUGCCAGCAGCCGCGGUAAAACGUAGGUGGCAAGCGUUAUCCGGAUUCACUGGGCGUAAAGCGCGUGCAGGUGGCUUCGUAAGUUGGACGUUAAAUCUUUCGGCCUAACCGGGAGGUGUCGUUCAAUACUGCGGGGCUUGAGGGUAGAAGAGGGGGGUGGAAUUGCCGGUGUAGUGGUGAAAUGCGUAGAUAUCGGGAGGAACACCAGUGGCGAAGGCGGCAUCCUGGCCCUGUCCUGACGCUCAGGGGCGAAAGCGUGGGGAGCAAACC
RNAcentral lists this ribosomal RNA (404 nucleotides) under uncultured bacterium. Its description in RNAcentral is "bacterial SSU rRNA". It matches the Rfam family "Bacterial small subunit ribosomal RNA", at positions 354 to 774 of the family's 1533-position model. The record is from RNAcentral.